GUGCUGGCUUCAGCAGCACAUGUACUAAAAUUGGAAUGCUAAGUGAAGAUUAGCAUGGCCCCUGUGCAAGGAUGGCACACAAACUCGUGUAGCAUUCUAUAAUUUU
Myotis brandtii (Brandt's bat) is the source of this 106-nucleotide non-coding RNA. The record is from Rfam. NCBI's taxonomy places the organism in Eukaryota, Metazoa, Chordata, Mammalia, Chiroptera, Vespertilionidae.